GGUCGGGUGGCGCAAUGGUAGCGCGUGGUCCUCCUACCCAACUAAGAGGAGUUUCAAGACUGAGGUUGUGGGUUCGAGUCCCAUCUCGAUCG
Triangularia verruculosa is the source of this 92-nucleotide non-coding RNA. The record is from the annotation of a GenBank genome assembly. NCBI's taxonomy places the organism in Eukaryota, Fungi, Ascomycota, Sordariomycetes, Sordariales, Podosporaceae.